Molecule: long non-coding RNA, 483 nt
Filed under: Bos indicus x Bos taurus (hybrid cattle)
Lineage: Eukaryota; Metazoa; Chordata; Mammalia; Artiodactyla; Bovidae
Description: lncRNA (ENSBIXG00000002900.1)
Source: RNAcentral
AUUAUUUUUUUUAAUUUUAUUUUAUUUUUAAACUUUACAAUAUUGUAUUAGUUUUGCCAAAUAUUGAAAUGAAUCCGCCACAGGUAUACCUGUGUUCCCCACCCUGAACCCUCCUCCCUCCUCCCUCCCCAUACCCUCCCUCUGGGUCAUCUUAUGAUCCCUCAUAAAGUUCCUUCUGGAACAAGAUUCCCUUUUCUCCUCAAGCCAGCCCCCAGUAGGUUCACCUUUACAGUUUCUGGAACUAGAACAAGAGGAUGAGUGAGAAGCAAGUAACCAGUUGGGAGCUGUGGAUUGGCAAAUUUCAAGAUGAAAAUGGAAGGCCAAUGGCCAGGCCAAAUCCAUUGUUUUCAGAAGCUCCCAAAGCUACUGAGUCCAGAAUGCAAGAAGCCAUGCAGUGUUAAGGAAAAUUACCUCUUCUUCAACUCUGGGGAGCAUUUGGUCACCUAGGCCCUAGGAUCAUAAGCAUCUGUUGUUCAGGCACCU